AAGUCGUAACAAGGUUUUCGUAGGUGAACCUGCGGAAGGAUCAUUAACACGUAUCCAAACGUUAUUCUGCUCUUGUAACCCGCGAAGCUUGCAAUCUCUGGUAAAUCAUAGCCCGGAAAGUAGUUGAUUCAGAGACCUCUAGCCCGUGCAAACAUUGGAACAGUUACAAUCAACUGCGGUAGUUCUAUAGGCUUUGUUUCCCCAAGCAGUCAGUGUCUGAAAGGAUAGCGCUUCACGAUUCCUGUAGACCGUACACUCGGGCAGGAGCUAUGCCAAAGGGUCCCCAUGCCCCCUUAUAACCCCACAGUUAAUGU
RNAcentral lists this unclassified non-coding RNA (314 nucleotides) under fungal sp. RNAcentral describes it as "partial internal transcribed spacer region". The stretch from base 1 to 46 matches the Rfam family "Eukaryotic small subunit ribosomal RNA", at positions 1786 to 1831 of the family's 1831-position model. The record is from RNAcentral. Lineage: Eukaryota; Fungi.